UAAACAUGAGGCUUUAAGGUCUCUCCCUCUCUAGGGUUUCUCUCAAGGGCAAUGGGAGUGCAUCUUGUCUUGUGCAAAUAUUUGGUCACGACAUCUCCCUCUCCGUCCUCUGUCAAAGGAUGCGACGUCUGUCCUCUAUUUCUAUGGUGAUUUUGCUCGUGAUUGGUUAGAUCUGGAGCCAACUACUCUAUUCUGACUGGCAUUUUUGGGAUUAAGAAACUAGAGGUUAUCUUUAUGGUAGCUCUUAUUGACUCUUUGAGGUGGUGGCAAAUCUGUGAUGCUCAUGACAAGUACCUCUUGAUCCAUCGGGCAAGGUUUUAUGGUUAGUACCUUUUUUAUUCUUCCUCCUACUGUGCUUGGUUCGUCAGCAUUCAUGAUUGCGUUCACUGCUUUGCGGUUCACUCAUGGUGGCUCUUCUUUAACCUUUUUGGUUGCUCCCUUAAAAGGGAUAGGACCUCUUUGCUAGCUAUUGUUGGCCUGUUUUCUUUCCUAUGGAUUCUGGUGGCUCGAUGGCAAGAGAUCAUGCAGUGACGACUAAAGUUUUUGGUCCCCCUUGUUCUGUUGCAUGAGGGGAUUAGCUGAUUUGCUUUUUUGCUCUGAUUCUAUGUUUGCCAUUGCCUUUGGCUUAUGGCUGAAACUUUGUCAUUUUCGUCCAUUAAUGAUAUCUUCCCCUCCUUAUAAAAACA
This is a long non-coding RNA of Prosopis cineraria, 686 nucleotides long. RefSeq lists it as uncharacterized. NCBI's taxonomy places the organism in Eukaryota, Viridiplantae, Streptophyta, Magnoliopsida, Fabales, Fabaceae. The record is from RefSeq and is a predicted model, not a curated record. The transcript is spliced from 2 exons.